Long non-coding RNA from Sphaeramia orbicularis (orbiculate cardinalfish), 184 nucleotides. RefSeq lists it as uncharacterized. Lineage: Eukaryota; Metazoa; Chordata; Actinopteri; Kurtiformes; Apogonidae. The transcript is spliced from 2 exons. The record is from RefSeq and is a predicted model, not a curated record.
CCCAACCUUUUUUGACUCGUGACCCCAUUUUAACAUCACAAAUUUCUGUAAUGCAUGUGGUCACGUGAUCGGGCCAAUCAAGAUAUGCCCAGUCAGAUAUUAUAUCCUGCAUUUUAUUUGAACUUGAUUUUUAUUAGGAAAGUGCGUAGUGUUUUAAUUAUAAUGAAAUAUAUAUUGAAUCAUA